RNAcentral lists this ribosomal RNA (253 nucleotides) under uncultured bacterium. RNAcentral's name for it is "partial 16S ribosomal RNA". It matches the Rfam family "Bacterial small subunit ribosomal RNA", at positions 524 to 776 of the family's 1533-position model. The record is from RNAcentral.
UACAGAGGUGGCAAGCGUUGUUCGGAAUUACUGGGCGUAAAGCGCGCGUAGGCGGCUUUUCAAGUCAGACGUGAAAGCCCCAGGCUUAACCUGGGAAUUGCGUUUGAUACUGUUAGGCUAGAGUGUGGAAGGGGCUACUGGAAUUCCGUGUGUAGCGGUGAAAUGCGUAGAUAUCAGGAGGAACACCGGUGGCGAAGGCGGGUCUCUGGGCCGAUACUGACGCUGAGGAGCGAAAGCAUGGGUAGCGAACAGG